This 76-nucleotide transfer RNA is filed under the name Vulcanimicrobiota bacterium. RNAcentral's name for it is "tRNA-Glu". It matches the Rfam family "tRNA". From Rfam's summary of the family: Transfer RNA (tRNA) molecules are approximately 80 nucleotides in length. Their secondary structure includes four short double-helical elements and three loops (D, anti-codon, and T loops). Lineage: Bacteria; Bacillati; Vulcanimicrobiota. The record is from RNAcentral.
GGCCCUAUCGUCUAGAGGCCUAGGACGCCGGGUUCUCAACCCGGUAACACGGGUUCGAAUCCCGUUGGGGCUACCA